Molecule: long non-coding RNA, 108 nt
Organism: Haliotis rubra (blacklip abalone)
Lineage: Eukaryota; Metazoa; Mollusca; Gastropoda; Lepetellida; Haliotidae
Exons: 3
Source: RefSeq, a predicted model, not a curated record
UCAAAUGUAUUUUAUAAUUAGCAUGGCCUAAAUUUUCGAAGCUCUCUUAGUUCUAUGAUAGUCGUAAAAACAUUAGCAAUAUCGACAGACGAUCUUAGUGCUAACAGA